RNAcentral lists this ribosomal RNA (288 nucleotides) under uncultured bacterium. Its description in RNAcentral is "partial 16S ribosomal RNA". It matches the Rfam family "Bacterial small subunit ribosomal RNA", at positions 773 to 1060 of the family's 1533-position model. The record is from RNAcentral.
GUGGAUUAGAUACCCUGGUAGUCCACGCCGUAAACGGUGGGCGCUAGGUGUGGGGAACAUUCCACGUUCUCCGUGCCGCAGCUAACGCAUUAAGCGCCCCGCCUGGGGAGUACGGCCGCAAGGCUAAAACUCAAAGGAAUUGACGGGGGCCCGCACAAGCGGCGGAGCAUGCGGCUUAAUUCGAUGCAACGCGAAGAACCUUACCUAGGCUUGACAGUUGGGGAAAUCUGGCAGAGAUGUCAGGUCCGCAAGGGCCCCAAAACAGGUGGUGCACGGCCGUCGCCAACU